AGUUAAUGAACUUGAUAUAAGUAUAUGUUUUGAAAACAUAAAAUAGAGGUUAAAUCCCCUAUUAACUU
This 68-nucleotide transfer RNA is filed under the name Pogonus iridipennis. RNAcentral's name for it is "tRNA-Ser". It matches the Rfam family "tRNA". Rfam says of the family: Transfer RNA (tRNA) molecules are approximately 80 nucleotides in length. Their secondary structure includes four short double-helical elements and three loops (D, anti-codon, and T loops). The record is from RNAcentral. Lineage: Eukaryota; Metazoa; Arthropoda; Insecta; Coleoptera; Carabidae.